Molecule: ribosomal RNA, 433 nt
Filed under: uncultured bacterium
Lineage: Bacteria
Description: partial 16S ribosomal RNA
Rfam family: Bacterial small subunit ribosomal RNA
Source: RNAcentral
AGCGAACGCUGGCGGCAGGCUUAACACAUGCAAGUCGAGCGGGCACUUCGGUGUCAGCGGCAGACGGGUGAGUAACACGUGGGAACGUACCCUUCGGUUCGGAAUAACGCUGGGAAACUAGCGCUAAUACCGGAUACGCCCUUUUGGGGAAAGGUUUACUGCCGAAGGAUCGGCCCGCGUCUGAUUAGCUAGUUGGUGGGGUAAUGGCCUACCAAGGCGACGAUCAGUAGCUGGUCUGAGAGGAUGAUCAGCCACACUGGGACUGAGACACGGCCCAGACUCCUACGGCAGGCAGCAGUGGGGAAUAUUGGACAAUGGGCGCAAGCCUGAUCCAGCCAUGCCGCGUGAGUGAUGAAGGCCUUAGGGUUGUAAAGCUCUUUUGUCCGGGACGAUAAUGACGGUACCGGAAGAAUAAGCCCCGGCUAACUUCGUG